This 16-nucleotide small RNA is filed under the name Arabidopsis thaliana (thale cress). RNAcentral's name for it is "ATSL298090". Lineage: Eukaryota; Viridiplantae; Streptophyta; Magnoliopsida; Brassicales; Brassicaceae. The record is from RNAcentral.
UGACAGAAGACUUUCU